Molecule: long non-coding RNA, 637 nt
Organism: Toxorhynchites rutilus septentrionalis
Lineage: Eukaryota; Metazoa; Arthropoda; Insecta; Diptera; Culicidae
Exons: 3
Source: RefSeq, a predicted model, not a curated record
CUUUUGAUGCUGGGAAUAUACUUCAAAUAUAUAACUUUGCGCCACAAAUACAGAUCCCGAAUUGAGCACCAUAGGAAUGACUAGAUGUUGGUCGCUUCACUUUGAUGAUCGGGAAAAAUAUAUAAGCUACACUGGGGUAAGUUGAAACGGAAGCCAUAACCUUUACUAGGAAUUAUGGAUUGACGUUAUAUAUUUCUCAGUAAACAGUAGGGUAAAGGGGGGAGCAGUUUCGGACAAGGCUUGUAAAAAAAAGUGGUACAAUUUUCAACCAAAUUAAAUAUAAGUAUGUUAGCAGCCCUUCCACCAACAUCUGCCAUAUAGUUUGACAGCUCCUGGUCGUUUAUUACUUACGAAAACAACAUAGUGGCCUUUUUCAUACACGUUUUGAAACUUCUGAGCUUGAAGUUUUCAAUGAUAAUAUAUAUUUGGUUUCUAUAAUAGGGAAAUCAAAGAUCCUUUUCCUAAAUAAUAAAAUCGGCAACCAGGAAUGACUGAUCCUACUGCAUAGAAUAUAGCCGCGCGAGAUAGCUGGUGGAUGAUAAUCCAGACGACCGGAGUUCGAACCCACAUCGGAUCAGUUUUCACCAAACAUCAAUCUGUGCCAUUUUAAACAUUUGUAUUCCACUCACAACACAAG